This 67-nucleotide transfer RNA is filed under the name Dicrossus filamentosus (checkerboard dwarf cichlid). Its description in RNAcentral is "tRNA-Ser". Lineage: Eukaryota; Metazoa; Chordata; Actinopteri; Cichliformes; Cichlidae. The record is from RNAcentral.
GAGAGAGUGUGGUUACAACAAAGGCUGCUAACCUUCAAUUCCUCAGUUAAACUCCGAGGCUCACUCA